Molecule: non-coding RNA, 508 nt
Organism: Pelobates cultripes (western spadefoot toad)
Lineage: Eukaryota; Metazoa; Chordata; Amphibia; Anura; Pelobatidae
Source: the annotation of a GenBank genome assembly
AAUAAACAAUGUAAAGCAAUGAGAAAGAUCAACCUGCUCAGGUACAGUCAUGUCUUUUGUAGACAACAAAAUCAAGAUAACUUUCUAGAUAAUAACUAUGUAUCACUAUCAUAUUCCUACAGACAUAUAUAGUAUAGUAUUUUCAUUCUCAAUACCUGAUAUUACUUAAGUACUAAUACAUGUAUUGCUUGUAUAUCCUGUCCAAUUAUAUUUCCAUGAAUCAUAUGGUUUCUAGCAACCUUAAAAUCUUUGUCAUUUGUAAUCAUGAAUUACAUUCCUAUACCAUUAAUUCCACCUAGUGAUUGUAUCAGUACUUUACAAUCAUAGUAUUUAAUUUGUAUAUUCAGUAGGCUCUAACUACCUGAAAUAUAUCAACACUACUUAUAAGACUCAUUCAAAGGAUGUGUUAUCAACCAUGAAGUUCUAUAAUAAUUCUUCAAAUAAUGUUCAUGGUGUUGACAAUACUUAUUGUUCUAGAAAUUCUCCACCCAGAAAUCUAUCAUAGAUU